AACGAACGCUGGCGGCAUGCCUAACACAUGCAAGUCGAACGAGACCUUCGGGUCUAGUGGCGCACGGGUGCGUAACGCGUGGGAACCUGCCCUUAGGUUCGGAAUAACUCUCCGAAAGGGGUGCUAAUACCGGAUAAUGUCUUCGGACCAAAGAUUUAUCGCCUUUGGAUGGGCCCGCGUUGGAUUAGCUAGUUGGUAGGGUAAAAGCCUACCAAGGCGACGAUCCAUAGCUGGUCUGAGAGGCUGAUCAGCCACACUGGGACUGAGACACGGCCCAGACUCCUACGGGAGGCAGCAGUGGGGGAUAUUGGACAAUGGGCGGAAGCCUGAUCCAGCAAUGCCGCGUGAGUGAUGAAGGCCUUAGGGUUGUAAAGCUCUUUUACCCGGGAUGAUAAUGACAGUACCGAGAGAAUAAGCUCCGGCUAACUCCGUG
RNAcentral lists this ribosomal RNA (433 nucleotides) under uncultured bacterium. Its description in RNAcentral is "partial 16S ribosomal RNA". It matches the Rfam family "Bacterial small subunit ribosomal RNA", at positions 29 to 507 of the family's 1533-position model. The record is from RNAcentral.